CUCGCGGGAGAGCUCCGACACCUCGUGUGCCGGACACCGAAGGAGCAAGCCUCCCCGCCAAUCUCUCAGGUACGCGUACCGCGCAG
RNAcentral lists this non-coding RNA (86 nucleotides) under uncultured Microbacterium sp. Its description in RNAcentral is "Glycine riboswitch". It matches the Rfam family "Glycine riboswitch aptamer", at positions 9 to 86 of the family's 94-position model. Rfam says of the family: This family represents the bacterial glycine riboswitch. The record is from RNAcentral. Lineage: Bacteria; Bacillati; Actinomycetota; Actinomycetes; Micrococcales; Microbacteriaceae.